This 75-nucleotide transfer RNA is filed under the name Marmota monax (woodchuck). Its description in RNAcentral is "tRNA.Ser". Lineage: Eukaryota; Metazoa; Chordata; Mammalia; Rodentia; Sciuridae. The record is from RNAcentral.
GGGGUUGUGGCUCAGUGGUAGAGUGUUUGCCUAGAGUGUUUGUGUGAGACACUGGGUUUGAACCUCAGCACCCCA